GUCGAGAAUUUUUCACAAUGGGGGAAACCCUGAUGGAGCGACGCCGCGUGGGGGAUGAAUGGCUUCGGCCCGUAAACCCCUGUCAAUCGGGAGCAAUGCGUCCGACCUAAUACGUCGGACGUUGAUAGUACCGGAAGAGGAAGGGACGGCUAACUCUGUGCCAGCAGCCGCGGUAAUACAGAGGUCCCAAGCGUUGUUCGGAUUCACUGGGCGUAAAGGGUGCGUAGGCGGUCGGGUAAGUCUGAUGUGAAAUCUCGGAGCUCAACUCCGAAACGGCAAUGGAUACUAUCCGGCUGGAGGUUGGGAGGGGGGACUGGAAUUCUCGGUGUAGCAGUGAAAUGCGUAGAUAUCGAGAGGAACACCAGUGGCGAAGGCGAGUCCCUGGACCAAUCCUGACGCUGAGGCACGAAAGCCAGGGGAGCAAACGGGAUUAGAAACCCCUGUAGUCC
This 449-nucleotide ribosomal RNA is filed under the name uncultured bacterium. RNAcentral describes it as "bacterial SSU rRNA". It matches the Rfam family "Bacterial small subunit ribosomal RNA", at positions 354 to 796 of the family's 1533-position model. The record is from RNAcentral.